Homo sapiens (human) is the source of this 2152-nucleotide long non-coding RNA. Ensembl annotates it as long intergenic non-protein coding RNA 1004. NCBI's taxonomy places the organism in Eukaryota, Metazoa, Chordata, Mammalia, Primates, Hominidae. The record is from Ensembl.
AGCGCUUUCUGUGGCUAGGGGAGUCAGGGGUUUCCUUUUCCCUUAUUCGGGCUCUUAUGUUACCCCCGUUUUCCGUUGAACCCUUUUCUCCCCUCUUGCCCUCCAAAAAAGCAGUCUGCUGCCGCUCCCGACUUUUCUCGCUGAGACACCGUCAGCUCACUCCGAGCCCAGCACAGCGGCCAUCUUCGGUAAAUUCUGGCAGCAGCCCGCCUGUUCAUUGUCCUGUGUGCCCAGAGGAAAGAACUACUCAUUUUUCGUGAUCAAGCUAGGGGAGGCAGGAGCAAUAAUGGCCCUGCUAUAGGACUGGCUUUUAUUUGAAUUCCAACUCUUCUGCCACCUUAACCAGCUGUAUCCAGAUUUUAAAAGUUAAUCUAUCCGAGCCUCUUAUUAAAUAUUAGGUUGAUGAGAUGAUGCAUGCAAAGCGCUUAGAACAGUACUAGGCAUAAAGCGUCCGACAUAAAGGUUAAGUAAAAGUAAGGAAAAGCUAUGGGGAUGUAUUGAGUAUCUCUUUGCCCAAUGACGUAUUAGUCGUAUUAAAUAUGGAAAGUGCCUUUGAUUCGCCGUGCCCAUGGGAGAAGGCAUAGGAAUGGCCUUUUCCCACCUGUAAUCAGAGAGCAGGUGUUUCAAGAACGCCUCAAUAUGUUUGCGAUCUCUCACGCAGCCUUUCAGGCUCCUAAUUCCUACGAAGUUUCCGCUUUUAUUCAAAUUGGCUCACUCCUUUUUGCAGGGCUUUGUACUGAAUGAGUAUUCUUUUAAGGGUGGUGGACAAGCAAAGGUUUGGUAGCAUCACAUUUUUAAUUUCACAGGGAAAAUGGGUAUGAAACAUCUUCCCAAGUACAUCUUAGACUGCCAGCUGACAGCAAGCCAUAAUGCUCCCCAGCUCUUGGGCCCUACACCCCCUCUCCCCCAUCCCCGCUUUAGUUCUUUGUCAUUGCUCAUGGACAGCUGGUUUGGGGACCAGGUGCAGAUGAUGGGAGGUGUCUGAAAAACAGCAAGUGAGAAAUGCUAGUUUUGUUGUUUUAAGUUGCACUGAUGACUCCAGUAGUUAUCUGUGCUGCUUGUGAUAAUUUAUAAGGCAAUGAUAACGAAUUAAACAUACAAAAGAUUAUUAUCUUCCACAGGAAAAAAAAACUGCAAACUUGUGACACCAUUUAUGAUCCACUUAGUCUUGAGAUACUGAGUAAUAGAACUUUCUCCUUUUAGGCUGAGUUAUGAACUUCGGUUUGGUUUCUUUCUGCAAUCCCUGCAGGGCCAUAAAUUCUUGGCCCUUAAGACUGGGUGGCCCAUAACAGACUCAGUGAUACCAUCAGUAACCACAAUUCACACUGGAGUCAAGUUAUCUGAUUCCCACACCAGUUGGAGAACUGGAGAUUCCUUAGAACUUUUAACUGUCAUGUUUUCAAAGUUGACAUGGAAAAUUUUACAUGAAGCUUAAAAAUACAACUAAUCUGUGGUGAUAGAGACGAGAAGAGUUAAGCUCUAAAAUUAGAAGAGCAGUUCGUUUUGAGGCAGCACUGAUUGGGAGGGAGCAUGGAGUAUAUAAUUACACAUUUCUAUGUAAUGUAAAAAUGUAUAGAUUUAAGAUUUAUGCAUUUUAUGUAAAUUUUACUACAAUAAAACGAAAAUGAAAGAAGACAGAUCAUAGUUUAAUCAAAUAUUGUGUACAAAGUAAUUUCUGUUAAACAUUUAUAUUUUUAUGUGUAUAUGUAUCUUUUACAUGUAUGUGUUAAGGAUAUGCAUUAAAAUGGUAAUAACUUCCUCUGCCUGUUGGGAUAAUGGAGAGUUUUGUUACUUUUUGUCUUUUUUUAAAACAUGUUCUUCAAUAAUAAUGUAUUGCUUUUGUAAUUAUGAAAAACAAAAGUUAUUUUGUAAAUCUUUGUUACUGAUAAGAGAUGGGUAUUCUGUUAACUACUCAAUUCUCAUGUAGGAAAACAAAAUAAAUAAUGUCUAUUUGAUAAAUCGAGAAACAGAAGCAUUACUUAGAAAUCUGAGUUACCUCUAAAAUAAUGACUGGCAUUUGAAGUUGAGGAUGGGUCUUGAGUUCCUGUGAUUUUAAGCUCUUGGAUAUGAGGGUUGGGUGAGUUCCUCUUUUUCUCUUUUAAAAUAUAUGUAUGUUUAACUUUGCUAAAUAAAAUUUAAAAGAUGCAAUGUA